GGCUCAGAUUGAACGCUGGCGGCAGGCUUAACACAUGCAAGUCGAGCGGGGGAAGGUAGCUUGCUACUGGACCUAGCGGCGGACGGGUGAGUAAUGCUUAGGAAUCUGCCUAUUAGUGGGGGACAACAUCUCGAAAGGGAUGCUAAUACCGCAUACGUCCUACGGGAGAAAGCAGGGGACCUUCGGGCCUUGCGCUAAUAGAUGAGCCUAAGUCGGAUUAGCUAGUUGGUGGGGUAAAGGCCUACCAAGGCGACGAUCUGUAGCGGGUCUGAGAGGAUGAUCCGCCACACUGGGACUGAGACACGGCCCAGACUCCUACGGGAGGCAGCAGUGGGGAAUAUUGGACAAUGGGCGGAAGCCUGAUCCAGCCAUGCCGCGUGUGUGAAGAAGGCCUUUUGGUUGUAAAGCACUUUAAGCGAGGAGGAGGCUACUAAGAUUAAUACUCUUGGAUAGUGGACGUUACUCGCAGAAUAAGCACCGGCUAACUCUGUGCCAGCAGCCGCGGUAAUACAGAGGGUGCGAGCGUUAAUCGGAUUUACUGGGCGUAAAGCGUGCGUAGGCGGCUUUUUAAGUCGGAUGUGAAAUCCCCGAGCUUAACUUGGGAAUUGCAUUCGAUACUGGGAAGCUAGAGUAUGGGAGAGGAUGGUAGAAUUCCAGGUGUAGCGGUGAAAUGCGUAGAGAUCUGGAGGAAUACCGAUGGCGAAGGCAGCCAUCUGGCCUAAUACUGACGCUGAGGUACGAAAGCAUGGGGAGCAAACAGGAUUAGAUACCCUGGUAGUCCAUGCCGUAAACGAUGUCUACUAGCCGUUGGGGCCUUUGAGGCUUUAGUGGCGCAGCUAACGCGAUAAGUAGACCGCCUGGGGAGUACGGUCGCAAGACUAAAACUCAAAUGAAUUGACGG
Molecule: ribosomal RNA, 901 nt
Filed under: uncultured bacterium
Lineage: Bacteria
Description: bacterial SSU rRNA
Rfam family: Bacterial small subunit ribosomal RNA
Source: RNAcentral